This 2839-nucleotide long non-coding RNA is filed under the name Sipha flava (yellow sugarcane aphid). RNAcentral describes it as "uncharacterized LOC112689840". The record is from RNAcentral. Lineage: Eukaryota; Metazoa; Arthropoda; Insecta; Hemiptera; Aphididae.
ACCACAAUGACAAUAGCGCAUUAACCAUUCAACUAGACGUGCGGUGAUACGAAAACGGAAUAGAUGCCAUAAUUAGUAAUCAGUAAUCACAUAACCAAAUCGACUAUUAUGUUUGUAAUUGAAUAACGAUUUUUCACCGUUACUGCAGUCUUAUUAAAAUUUCAAAUUGGUCCUCGUCCUAAUGUUCUGUAGUUCUGUUAGUUAUUGUCAUGUCGACUAAACGACUUGGUGGUCAGGAAAAAGUUCGUGCAAAGCAAAGACUUUUACUGUUGAAGACUAGUGAAAAUUGCCACAAGAUAAAAGAUUUUUUUUCAAAUCAAAAAAAAUCUGUAAUAAAAGAAUUAGGUGAUUGCAGAUAAUCAAAAUUCAAAAGUUUUGUCGCAUGAAGACUGAAUGCCAUCCAACAUUUUAUUUAUUAAUGCACAACUUAAUGAUUAUGAAAACAAUAAUUUAAUUCCAUCUUCAGAGUUACACAAUUCUAAAUGUACAGGGGUUCCUGCAGCUGGAAGUAUUGAAUCAUGUUCUUUAUUAUUGAUGAAAAAUAAUAUAUUGAUCCAUGUAGAUGAUCUAAUAAAUCCCCUUUCAUCUAAUCGAUUUGAAGUUAAUGAACAUAUAGGCUAAGGUCCUUAUCGUCCAAUUUUAGAAAUAUUUCCAAAGCAAAAACAAGGAAGUUGUAUGCGUUCAUUUCAGAAAUCAUGGUAUGAUUUAUAUGACUGGAUUGAAUAUAGUCAAACAGCUGAUGCAGCAUUUUGUUUUCCAUGCCGUUGUUUCAGUGGAAAUUAAAACAAUUGUUUGCAAUUGGAAUUAAUUUUUUCCAAAAUUGGUUUUAAAGGUUGGUACCGAGCACUUCAUAUGUUUAAGAGACAUGAUUUAUCAAAAGCACAUUUUAAUAGUACAAAAUUUCUGGUUCAUUUUAAAAAUUCUAAGUCAAUCGAUGAAAUAAUUGAUAUCAAUAAAACAGUAUGUCUUAAAAAAAGGGAGGCUGAACGUUUGAAAAAUAGAAAAUGAAUGGAAAAAUGAGUUGAUGUAACUAUUUGUCUUACCAAAGGUAGGUGUCCAUUCCGCAGUCAUGAUGAAAGUAUAAAUAGUCAACAAAAAGGUUUAUUUAAAGAGUUUAUUCAAGUAUUAAGUAAAUAUGAUGUUGUUUUAAAAGAUCACAUUGAUUUUGGACCGAAAAAUGCUCAAUACACUAGUAACAGGAUUCAAAACUAUAUCAUUUUUUCAAUUCAUAACGUUCUUAAAAAAAAAAUGUAUAUCACAUUAAAACAAUCGUAUAUUUCAAUAAUUGCUGAUGAAACAUCUGAUGUUGGACAUCAUGAGCAAUUAUCGAUUGUAAUAAGACAUUUUAAUUCUAUGACUAAUCGACCUUUUGAAACAUUUUUGGUUCUAAAACAUAUGAUAUCAGUUAAUGCAGAUUCUAUUUUUCAAACAAUAACUGAUGUUCUUAAGGAUCAAAUGAAAUUAGAAUGGAGUUUGGUUGUUUCUGUAUGUUUUGAUGGGGUGGCUACAAUGGCUGGUAGUAUUUCUGGUGUUUAGGCAAAAUGUAAGGAAGAAAAUAGUAAAAUGUUGUAUGUACACUGUUAUGCUCAUUGUUUAAAUUUAUCUCUAAUUGACUCUAUUUGUGACAAAUCUAGCAAUAAAAAUUCUAACCAAAAUUGAAUUUUGUUUGAUUUUUUUGAAACUGUUCAAUUUGUUUUCUCAUUUAUUGAAGGGAGUCCCAUGCGUCAUGCUAUAUUUGAAAAAAUCGCUAAAGAAAAUGGUGCUCACGUACAAACAUUAAAAUCAUGUUCCAUUACUAGAUGGACUUACUGUGCAGAAGCCGUUAAUGCAAUAAAAUAUAAUUAUGGUGUAAUACUUCAAGCAUUAAAAGCAAUCAAUGUAAAAUGUUCAAUUCCUGAAAUGCGUGCAAAAGGCCAAGGUCUUCUACAUCAACUUCAAACUUUCAAUUUUAUAUUUUGUCUACAUAUAAUGCAAGUUAUCUUACAGCUAGUUUUGAAAGUAAGUUUUGCCUUACAAACACCAAAUUUAGAAUUGUUAAUUGCGGUUAUGAUGAUUAACUCAAACACUCAGUCACUAAUUUCAUUACGGAAUGACUAACAACAUUUUAAAUCAAUAUUUGAAAAUACAAAAAAAAUGUGCUAUGAAAUGUAUAUCGAAAUACCUGAAGUAAAAAGAAAAAAAAUUUCUAAAAACCUAGAAGAUAAAUCUGAAAUACAACAUAUAUUUAAAAACAAAUUUGAUAAAAUGAGAAUUUUGAUAUUUUGUUAAAAUUGGAUAUACUUAUUAAUGGAUUAAAAGAUAGAUUCAAACAAGAUACAUUGAAUUUAAUCAAUGCUAUUGGUCUAUUAGCGAACCUAGAUGAUGAAAAUGAAACCUCAACAUAUAAAACAUUACACACAUAUUCAAUUUCAACUGAAGAUUUAUGCUGUGAAGUUAAUCUUGUGAGAUCUACUGAAGAUAUACCAAAAGGUACAAACUUUGGUUCUGUACACAAACGGCUAGAUUGGUUAAAACAGUAUGGUGGACAUGACAUUUUUAAAAAAAAUUCUCACUGUCUAAAAAUGUUUGUGACAAUUCCAGUGAUUAGUUGUAGCUGUGAACGCAGUUUUUCGAAAUUCAACAUUGUAAAAAACAAAUUAAGGAAUACUAUGUCACAAGAAAAAUUGGAUGUGCUUCUUUUUUUGUUUGUAGAACAAGAACUUUUAAGUGAUAUUGAUUUAAACUAUGUAAUUGAUGAGUUGUAACAUUUGCUUCCUAGUAACCGCAGACUUAUAUUGUAAAUCUAAUUAUUUAUUUUUAUUUUACAUACCUGACUCUUAAGAGUUCCAAUAUUAUGACU